UUCUGGUUGAUCCUGCCAGAGGCGACCGCUUUUGGAGUUCGAUUAAGCCAUGCGAGUAGAAUGAAUUAGAUCAUUGCAAACUGCUCAGUAACACGUGGAUAACCUGCCCUAUGCUCUGGGAUAACCUCGGGAAACUGAGAAGAAUACCGGAUAGACCACAACGCCUGGAACGGUGUGUGGUUGAAAGGUCACGGCAUAGGAUGGGUCUGCGGCGUAUCAGGUCGUAGGGGGUGUAACGGACCUCCUAGCCAUCGACGCGUACGGGUUGUGGGAGCAAUAGCCCGGAGAUGGAUUCUGAGACACGAAUCCAGACCCUACGGGGUGCAGCAGGCGCGAAAACUUCACACUGCAGGAAACUGUGAUGAGGGAACUCCAAGUGACUGCACAUUGUGUAGCCUUUUCUUUACUAUUAAUCGGUAUUGGAAUAAGGGCUGGGAAAGACCGGUGCCAGCCGCCGCGGUAAUACCGGCAGCUCAAGUGGUCGUCGCUUUUAUUGGGCCUAAAACGUCCGUAGCCUGUUUGGUAAAUCUGUGGGUAAAUCAACCAGCUUAACUGGUUGAAUUCUGCAGAGACUGCCAGACUAGGGACCGGGAGAGGUGUGGGGUACUCUAGGGGUAGGGGUAAAAUCCUGUCAUCCUUAGAGGACCACCAGUUGCGAAGGCGCCACACUGGAACGGAUCCGACGGUCAGGGACGAAGCCUAGGG
This 705-nucleotide ribosomal RNA is filed under the name uncultured Candidatus Poseidoniales archaeon. RNAcentral's name for it is "bacterial SSU rRNA". It matches the Rfam family "Archaeal small subunit ribosomal RNA", at positions 1 to 716 of the family's 1478-position model. The record is from RNAcentral. Lineage: Archaea; Methanobacteriati; Thermoplasmatota; Candidatus Poseidoniia; Candidatus Poseidoniales.